RNAcentral lists this ribosomal RNA (253 nucleotides) under uncultured bacterium. RNAcentral's name for it is "partial 16S ribosomal RNA". It matches the Rfam family "Bacterial small subunit ribosomal RNA", at positions 524 to 776 of the family's 1533-position model. The record is from RNAcentral.
UACAGAGAGUGCGAACGUUGUUCGGAAUUACUGGGCGUAAAGGGCUCGUAGGUGGCCAACUAAGUCAGACGUGAAAUCCCUCAGCUUAACUGGGGAACUGCGUCUGAUACUGGAUGGCUUGAGUUUGGGAGAGGGAUGCGGAAUUCCAGGUGUAGCGGUGAAAUGCGUAGAUAUCUGGAGGAACACCGGUGGCGAAGGCGGCAUCCUGGACCAACACUGACACUGAUGAGCGAAAGCCAGGGGAGCAAACGGG